GCUGCGUCAGAUUCAAGCACAUGAAACGUGACUUGCUUGUCAUGGAUUUCUUCAUUGUUGUAUGUCUAAUGGAUUAAGUCCCCAAAAUUGUGUUAUACUCAAUUAACGGCUCAUGGUUUAUAUAAUAAAGUACCUACAAAAGGA
Long non-coding RNA from Macrobrachium nipponense, 144 nucleotides. RefSeq lists it as uncharacterized. The record is from RefSeq and is a predicted model, not a curated record. Lineage: Eukaryota; Metazoa; Arthropoda; Malacostraca; Decapoda; Palaemonidae. The transcript has 2 exons.